RNAcentral lists this ribosomal RNA (468 nucleotides) under uncultured bacterium. RNAcentral describes it as "partial 16S ribosomal RNA". It matches the Rfam family "Bacterial small subunit ribosomal RNA", at positions 28 to 507 of the family's 1533-position model. The record is from RNAcentral.
GACGAACGCUGGCGGCGUGCUUAACACAUGCAAGUCGAACGGAAAGGCCCUGCUUUUGUGGGGUGCUCGAGUGGCGAACGGGUGAGUAACACGUGAGUAACCUGCCCUUGACUUUGGGAUAACUUCAGGAAACUGGGGCUAAUACCGGAUAGGAGCUCCUGCUGCAUGGUGGGGGUUGGAAAGUUUCGGCGGUUGGGGAUGGACUCGCGGCUUAUCAGCUUGUUGGUGGGGUAGUGGAUUACCAAGGCUUUGACGGGUAGCCGGCCUGAGAGGGUGACCGGCCACAUUGGGACUGAGAUACGGCCGAGACUCCUACGGGAGGCAGCAGUGGGGAAGAUUGCACAAUGGGCGGAAGCCUGAUGCAGCAACGCCGCGUGCGGGAUGACGGCCUUAGGGUUGUAAACCGCUUUCGCCGGUGACGAAGCGUGAGUGACGGUAAUGGGUAAAGAAGCACCGGCUAACUACGUG